Molecule: ribosomal RNA, 87 nt
Filed under: uncultured eukaryote
Lineage: Eukaryota
Description: partial 18S ribosomal RNA
Source: RNAcentral
UGGUGGAGUGAUUUGUCUGGUUAAUUCUGUUAACGAACGAGAUUUUAACUUCAUAUAUCCAAUAUGAUGAAAGAUAAAGCAAUAACA